UAGAGCCAUGGGGACACCUUUCAGGGCCACCUGCUGGACACUCAUGGGGAUGUGAGGACAACCUAGGACUCCUGGCGGGCCUGGCAUUCUCCUUUAAGGGGAAAGUUGGAACUGGCUCAUGAGACUUUGUGCAAGAUACACCAGCCCUUCUGAUGCAGGAGCUUUGGGUGAUUUCUUGGCUGUGACAUCAUCAGGUUAUUUUGACCAGGAGAACAGAAGGAUAAUGGUAAUGCUUCUCUACCCAGUGAUGACAGCCCUAGCACUGUAUCACCCUGGAGCAGGUCUAUGUUCUUUGUGAGUUGGAACAGCAAGAAGCUACAUUACCAUGUGAUACUCUGUUUCUGCUUACAUAAAGACUUGCCAAUUUGUGGAGACCUUAAAAGCAGUUGGUUCUUGGAGACAAAGCCGCCCAUGCUUGAACUCACAUAGCAGGAACUUCGAGAGCAUUCUAGUAAUGUCUGCUUAUGCAUGUGUUGUGUUCAAACUUAUCCUAGGACUUCUUCAUCCAUCCAGCAAGUACUUCCUGCAAUUCUGUCUACAAGCAAGCACAGUUUCUUGACUGGCACCGGAGCCUUGUAUGGAUUAAGUAAUCAUCUUUUUCCAUCUUUGGAAAGAAGAGCUACAGGGAGUGGAAUCACCAUCCUGCUGUCGGAGAAAUCUGUUGAACUUGAGAGUGAAUCUUUUAUAUUUACAAGAUUGCAAUCUAAUUGCUGCCACUGUACGGACAACUGGAUGCAUUGCACGUUUUAAAGAUCAAGGAAUCCAGAUGACAGCAGCUUUUCUGUGUGGGAGCCCUUGGGAGACGCUGCCAAGUUGGGUCCUGUGAGAAAGCAGGGAGUGGGCAAAGGUGUGACGUGGAGCCCGAGGAGGGAGUCUUGUCAGUUUUUAUAACAAUAGUUAAACAGGAUGAAAGAAAGAUAAGAGAGAGCACGAAAGGGCAUGGGUGUGACGUCUAAUUCAUUCCGGCCCAGAAGAACUGUUGUUAAGAGACUCAAAUUGUGCUAAGCAUCUAGAAUUCCUACCAACUGCUAAUCACCAGCAAGUUUAAAUUAAUGUGAAAAAUAUAUUGCUACAGGGAAAAUGAUGACUACCUGUGUUGGUCAGCUUUUCAUCACUGUGGCCCAGUGCCUGAGAAAAUCUAGUUAAAGGAGAAAGGAGUGGUUCUGGGUCAUAGUUUCAGAGGUGUCUGUCUGUGGUCCUUUGACUCCUGGCUUCUGGGCUGGAAUUGAGGCAGAAACAUCCUGGCUGAAAAGCAUGGCCACAGGGCAUGGUGGGAUGCAGGAAAAAGCAUAAGAGCCAGAGAAGAUGAGCUACAGACUGUGUACACAGCUUCAACUACAAACCCACUCCCUUCAUCUGGGCAUGGGGUCCAUUGUCUGAGUACUGAGAAAAUUAAAAAAAAAACA
This is a long non-coding RNA of Fukomys damarensis (Damara mole-rat), 1406 nucleotides long. RefSeq lists it as uncharacterized. Lineage: Eukaryota; Metazoa; Chordata; Mammalia; Rodentia; Bathyergidae. The record is from RefSeq and is a predicted model, not a curated record. The transcript has 5 exons.